AUCUUCCGCAAUGGACGAAAGUCUGACGGAGCAACGCCGCGUGUAUGAUGAAGGUCUUCGUAUUGUAAAGUACUGUCUUUGUGGAAGAACGGUCUUCUUGAGAAUAUUGAGGAGACAUGACGGUACCCAAGGCGGAAGCCCCGGCUCACUACGUGCCCGCAUCCGCGGUAAUACGUAGGGGGCAAGCGUUGUCCGGAAUUAUUGGGCGUAAAGGGCGCGUAGGCGGAUAUUUAAGUCCGGUGUGAAAGAUCAGGGCUCAACCCUGAGAGUGCAUCGGAAACUGGGUAUCUUGAGGACAGGAGAGGAAAGUGGAAUUCCACGUGUAGCGGUGAAAUGCGUAGAUAUGUGGAGGAACACCAGUGGCGAAGGCGACUUUCUGGACUGUAACUGACGCUGAGGCGCGAAAGCGUGGGGAGCAAACAGG
RNAcentral lists this ribosomal RNA (424 nucleotides) under uncultured bacterium. Its description in RNAcentral is "partial 16S ribosomal RNA". It matches the Rfam family "Bacterial small subunit ribosomal RNA", at positions 361 to 776 of the family's 1533-position model. The record is from RNAcentral.